Molecule: ribosomal RNA, 468 nt
Filed under: uncultured bacterium
Lineage: Bacteria
Description: partial 16S ribosomal RNA
Rfam family: Bacterial small subunit ribosomal RNA
Source: RNAcentral
GACGAACGCUGGCGGCGUGCUUAACACAUGCAAGUCGAACGGAAAGGCCCUGCUUUUGUGGGGUGCUCGAGUGGCGAACGGGUGAGUAACACGUGAGUAACCUGCCCUUGACUUUGGGAUAACUUCAUGAAACUGGGGCUAAUACCGGAUAGGAGCUCCUGCUGCAUGGUGGGGGUUGGAAAGUUUCGGCGGUUGGGGAUGGACUCGCGGCUUAUCAGCUUGUUGGUGGGGUAGUGGCUUACCAAGGCUUUGACGGGUAGCCGGCCUGAGAGGGUGACCGGCCACAUUGGGACUGAGAUGAGGCACAGACUCAUACGGGAGGCAGCAGUGCGGAAUAGUGCACAAUGGGCGGAAGCCUGAUGCAGCAACGCCGCGUGCGGGAUAACGGCCUUCGGGUUGUAAACCGCUUUCGCCUGUGACGAAGCGUGAGUGACGGUAAUGGGUAAAGAAGCACCGGCUAACUACGUG